RNAcentral lists this long non-coding RNA (209 nucleotides) under Volvox carteri. RNAcentral's name for it is "long non-coding RNA (VCAR_LNC002423)". The record is from RNAcentral. Lineage: Eukaryota; Viridiplantae; Chlorophyta; Chlorophyceae; Chlamydomonadales; Volvocaceae.
GGUGCGUUAUCAGUGCUUAAGAUUGCGUUACAUCGCGUUAGCGUCGCGUUAAACUCGCGUUAAAGCCUCGUAACGCGAAUUUAACGCGACGUAACGCGAUCACCCGUCGUCAUAGUGUGGACUAGAGAGACAUGGAAUGUGGGGUGGAUGUGCAUGUCAGGUGGUAGUUGCAGCUCGACUGCAGUAGACCCAACCAUGCGAACAACAGG